GACGAACGCUGGCGGCGUGCUUAACACAUGCAAGUCGAACGGAAAGGCCCUGCUUUUGUGGGGUGCUCGAGUGGCGAACGGGUGAGUAACACGUGAGUAACCUGCCCUUGACUUUGGGAUAACUUCAGGAAACUGGGGCUAAUACCGGAUAGGAGCUCCUGCGGCAUGGUGGGGGUUGGAAAGUUUCGGCGGUUGGGGAUGGACUCGCGGCUUAUCAGCUUGUUGGUGGGGUAGUGGCUUACCAAGGCUUUGACGGGUAGCCGGCCUGAGAGGGUGACCGGCCACAUUGGGACUGAGAUACGGCCCAGACUCCUACGGGAGGCAGCAGUGGGGAAUAUUGCACAAUGGGCGGAAGCCUGAUGCAGCAACGCCGCGUGCGGGAUGACGGCCUUCGGGUUGUAAACCGCUUUCGCCUGUGACGAGGCGUGAGUGACGGUAAUGGGUAAAGAAGCACCGGCUAACUACGUG
Molecule: ribosomal RNA, 468 nt
Filed under: uncultured bacterium
Lineage: Bacteria
Description: partial 16S ribosomal RNA
Rfam family: Bacterial small subunit ribosomal RNA
Source: RNAcentral